ACAAAGGCUCUUUUCAGAGCCACCCACUAUUUCUAUGAAAUGAGCU
Non-coding RNA from Dipodomys ordii (Ord's kangaroo rat), 46 nucleotides. NCBI's taxonomy places the organism in Eukaryota, Metazoa, Chordata, Mammalia, Rodentia, Heteromyidae. The record is from Rfam.